This 922-nucleotide ribosomal RNA is filed under the name uncultured Ascomycota. Its description in RNAcentral is "eukaryotic LSU rRNA". The stretch from base 274 to 922 matches the Rfam family "Eukaryotic large subunit ribosomal RNA", at positions 1 to 664 of the family's 3401-position model. The record is from RNAcentral. Lineage: Eukaryota; Fungi; Ascomycota.
AUCGAUGAAGAACGCAGCGAAAUGCGAUAAGUAAUGUGAAUUGCAGAAUUCAGUGAAUCAUCGAAUCUUUGAACGCACAUUGCGCCCCUUGGUAUUCCGAGGGGCAUGCCUGUUCGAGCGUCAUUUCAACCCUCAAGCCUGGCUUGGUAUUGGGGCCUGCUGUUACCGGCAGCCCUUAAACGCAGUGGCGGCGCCAUCUGGCUCUAAGCGUAGUAACUUACCCGCUACAGAGUCCCGGUGGAUGCUUGCCAGCAACCCCUAAUUUUCUAUGGUUGACCUCGGAUCAGGUAGGGAUACCCGCUGAACUUAAGCAUAUCAAUAAGCGGAGGAAAAGAAACCAACAGGGAUUGCCUCAGUAACGGCGAGUGAAGCGGCAACAGCUCAAAUUUGAAAUCUGGUCCUUUCAGGGCCCGAGUUGUAAUUUGUAGAAGAUGCUUCGGGUGUGGCUCCGGUCUAAGUUCCUUGGAACAGGACGUCAUAGAGGGUGAGAAUCCCGUAUGUGACUGGUUGCCUUCGCCUAUGUGAAGCUCUUUCGACGAGUCGAGUUGUUUGGGAAUGCAGCUCAAAAUGGGUGGUAAAUUUCAUCUAAAGCUAAAUAUUGGCCAGAGACCGAUAGCGCACAAGUAGAGUGAUCGAAAGAUGAAAAGCACUUUGGAAAGAGAGUUAAACAGUACGUGAAAUUGUUGAAAGGGAAGCGCUUGCAACCAGACUUGCGCGCCGUCGAUCAUCCAGGGUUCUCUCUGGUGCACUCGGCGGUGCUCAGGCCAGCAUCGGUUUCGGUGGUUGGAUAAAGGCCUUGGGAAUGUGGCUCCUCUCGGGGAGUGUUAUAGCCCUCGGUGCAAUGCAGCCUACCGGGACCGAGGACCGCGCUUCGGCUAGGAUGCUGGCGUAAUGGUUGUAAGCGACCCGUCUUGAAACACGG